This 253-nucleotide ribosomal RNA is filed under the name uncultured bacterium. Its description in RNAcentral is "partial 16S ribosomal RNA". It matches the Rfam family "Bacterial small subunit ribosomal RNA", at positions 524 to 776 of the family's 1533-position model. The record is from RNAcentral.
UACGAAGGGGGCUAGCGUUGUUCGGAAUUACUGGGCGUAAAGCGCACGUAGGCGGCCUGGAAAGUCGGGGGUGAAAUCCCGGGGCUCAACCCCGGAACUGCCUUUGAAACUCCCGGUCUUGAGGUCGAGAGAGGAGAGUGGAAUUCCGAGUGUAGAGGUGAAAUUCGUAGAUAUUCGGAGGAACACCAGUGGCGAAGGCGGCUCACUGGCUCGAUACUGACGCUGAGGUGCGAAAGCGUGGGGAGCAAACAGG